RNAcentral lists this ribosomal RNA (497 nucleotides) under uncultured bacterium. RNAcentral's name for it is "partial 16S ribosomal RNA". It matches the Rfam family "Bacterial small subunit ribosomal RNA", at positions 28 to 507 of the family's 1533-position model. The record is from RNAcentral.
GAUGAACGCUGGCGGCGUGCCUAAUACAUGCAAGUCGAGCGAACAGACGAGGAGCUUGCUCCUCUGACGUUAGCGGCGGACGGGUGAGUAACACGUGGAUAACCUACCUAUAAGACUGGGAUAACUUCGGGAAACCGGAGCUAAUACCGGAUAAUAUAUUGAACCGCAUGGUUCAAUAGUGAAAGACGGUUUUGCUGUCACUUAUAGAUGGAUCCGCGCCGCAUUAGCUAGUUGGUAAGGUAACGGCUUACCAAGGCAACGAUGCGUAGCCGACCUGAGAGGGGGAUCGGCCAACCUGGAACUGAGACACGGUCCAGACUCCUACGGGAGGCAGCAGUAGGGAAUCUUCCGCAAUGGGCGAAAGCUUGACGGAGCAACGCCGCGUGAGUGAUGAAGGUCUUCGGAUCGUAAAACUCUGUUAUUAGGGAAGAACAAAUGUGUAAGUAACUAUGCACGUCUUGACGGUACCUAAUCAGAAAGCCACGGCUAACUACGUG